CGCCCACCGCCCGGGGCCAGCAGAGGGCGCGCGCCCUCCACUCGGCGCUCCGCAGCCCCGCGAGUUCCCACAGGGCCUCGCGCGCCAUGGGCUGUGCGAAGAGCAAAGAGACGUGUUGGGCUGCCCGGCGGCAGCAGGAGGCCGUGGGCCCGAGCUGCAGGGCCCACCGUUCCUCAGAUGAAGAAACUGAGGCACAAAGAGGUUAUGAAACUUGCCCAAAGUCCCACACUUGGUAAGUGGUAGAGCUGGGAUAUAAGCUGAGGCAAUCUGACUCCGAAGCCCAGGAGUCAACCAUUACACUGCCCCCUCCCCCCUGGGUUUUAUAGGUGUGAGAAGGGAGACCCAGAAAAGUAACUUGCCCAAGUGAUGGAAUUUGUUAAUGCUGUAGGAUCCAUCUCUUUCAGAGGCUUACAAUUUAGUCACAAUGCAGCAUAUUGUGAACAACUAUGAGCAAUGGUAAAAACAACCAAGGGGGGAAGGCAGCUCCCUUGGGAGAGUUAGGAUUUGGCAGGAGUGUCUGAAGGGGGAAGAUUUUGUUGGGGGAGCAGCUGAUAAGACCAUCCUGGAAAUAAUGAGGAUACGUGUCCUGCUGGAGUUGAG
This 600-nucleotide long non-coding RNA is filed under the name Equus caballus (horse). RNAcentral describes it as "lncRNA (ENSECAG00000049386.1)". The record is from RNAcentral. Lineage: Eukaryota; Metazoa; Chordata; Mammalia; Perissodactyla; Equidae.